GUGUGGGCAGGAGUCAAGGGUGAAAUGAGGGCAGGACAUCUGCGGUUAACACCCCCACCCCCUGUCCAGCCUGGACAGGCUGGGCAGCUGCAGCGCAAUGCCCACACUGGCAGGCUUCAGCUCAGUCCCUGCUGUGUGUUCACGUGCUCACUGGCUCCUUGGUGCUUGUGCGGCAGCUGUGCCGUGGCACUGUGCGCGGGACACUGCUGAGACGUCCCCGCUCAGCCAGGCGAGAGGGAGGGCAGAGCACAGAGCUGCCAGGGGCAGCGACCCCUCCAAGGUCAGGGCCGCAGCUCCCAUCUUAAGCCCCCUUUAACCCCCGGACCACCUCACUGCUGUCCCCCGCUCACAGGCACUUGCCAAGCGCUGAGCGCACAUUGUUCUCGGUAUUCCGCUCUUUCCCGCAGCCUUUCUCUCCUCCCUCUCUCCUCCCUCCCAGUCCCUCUCCCCUCCCUUCCCCAGGUCCCUCCUUCCCUCGUCACCAAGUGGUGUAUAAAUCCCCUUCUCCAGCGUAUCCCCCAUCACGGGAGACCCUGGUACUUUGGCCCCCUGGGCAGGAGCUGCAGCCUCCGGCCUUUGGAUCGCUGGGACUUUGCGCUCCCUCCUGGACCCCUCGCUCUCAGCCCCGCUCACUCUCCAGAGGGGUUUCUGGACAUUUCCGACUGGCCUCUUCCCUUCGCCUCUCGCUCCUGUACCAGGAUGUCAGAAAAACGCGUAGAGGAGGUGCCAGCGGAGCUGAGCACCAAGGAAAUGAAAGAAAAGAAGGAAAAACUAGAGGAGAAAACAGUCCACAAAGAAAAGAAGAAGGAGAUAGUAGAGGAUGAGGAAAAUGGAGCCGAAGAGGAUGAGGAAGAGAAUCCUGAUGAUGUGGAUGAAGAUGAAGGUGGUGAUGAGGAUGAAGAUGGAGAUGAGAAUGGGCAAGAGCAGGAUGGACAUGCAGAAAAACGAUCUGCAGAGGAAGAAGAGGAUGAAGUGGAUCCAAAGAGACAGAAGACAGAAAACGGAUCUUCAGCUUGAGUCCUCCCUUCCCAUCUUUUCUAUUCCGUCCAUCUCUCCUCCUCCAUUCCAGCCCAUGCUUGCACUGUCCAUUAGCCUCUGGCUUCACACAGUCUCAGAUGAGGAAAGAUUAGAAAUGCUCUCAGACAGGGAAGACAGCAGUUUCCUUCCCACCUGAAGAUCUAGCCCAUCUACAACAUUCCCCAGCUGAAAUUAUUCCAGUCUCUCACAUCCUUUCAACUGUGCCCCACUUACAAAUGAUCCUUUUCCCUCAAGAAUCUCAUCUUUUCCUGUCUCCCAGUAAGUAACCUUACCAGGCCCAUAUGCCUAACCCUUCACAUGGCAAACAUGUCUCAUUCUUUUUCACUUGCCCUCUCUUUUCACGAAUAUGAUUGAGAUUCUUACUGGCUUCUGCUUCUCAGACCUGCUGUCAAAUAUCCUCCCUGGAUUCAGGAGGCUGUGGGCACAGAUCUCAUGGUGCAUUUUCCAGUCCUAGGCCUCCUAUCAUCUUCUUUCCCGUUGAACCCUGAGAGACAAAGAAAAAGAAUAUUACAAGCAAAUAAUGUUUCUAUUAAACCACACACAGAGACAGAAUUUAUUUUAACCUUUUUUUUAAGUUUACAUGACAAACAGCAAGCUGGCCCUCGUGAAUUUUUUCAGAAGAUAAAGGUUGGUUUUAUAUAUGAAUUUCAUCUGAACUGCAUAUUUUUUUAAUUUGGAGGCUUUUUAAAAACAAAUCAAGAGAUAAACAAUUGAGGACCAAACUUUGAUUUCCAUUUUUCCCUUCAGAUUCUCUUGUGACCAUUUUUUUGUAAAUUAAAGGCAAUACAGCCACAGCAUUUUCUAUGGCACAAACAUCACGAGGAUGAUAGUUAUAAAUAUAUAUAUUGUUUUCAACUAGCACUGUAAAUAAAAGCAUUUAAAAAUAUUUCA
Apteryx owenii (little spotted kiwi) is the source of this 1929-nucleotide long non-coding RNA. NCBI's taxonomy places the organism in Eukaryota, Metazoa, Chordata, Aves, Apterygiformes, Apterygidae. The record is from Ensembl.